Molecule: long non-coding RNA, 522 nt
Filed under: Paramuricea clavata
Lineage: Eukaryota; Metazoa; Cnidaria; Anthozoa; Malacalcyonacea; Plexauridae
Source: RNAcentral
CCGUCUUUGCCCGGGGUGGGGGGGGGGGUCUACUUUGACUGGUGCAUUAAUAAAAUAAACUGUUCUUACAGUUCAUAUAACCAAUUCAGGGUCACAAAGCAUUAUGGUAAAAUUGACACCUGCCAUCAUUUUUAUUAUGGUGAAUUUCAAACAUACAGUUCAACUGGUCUAUUUCAAUUUUAUUUCUUUGGAUAUUGUACUUUAUCUAAGGAAUAUUAAAGCCUACACUACUGUAUAUAUCACAUAUUUUGUAAGUACUUUCAACAUUGUUAUGUUGCUAUUUGGACACUGUAGAGUGUACACUGCUGAAACAAUGUACCAUAUAACAUAUUUUAAAAAUAAUUUCAAAUAUUGUAUUGCUAUUUUUGCACAGCCACUGUGGACAUCAGCUUCACAUGACAGGGAUAAAUGAAAUUAAUCUUAAUAUGUCUAUCUAUCUAUCUAUUUUUAGUAUCACCAAAUUAAUAAAUUCAAUUGAGUGACAAAAAUAUCCAUUCUAUUAACAAAUCCAUGAUGUCUGCU